This is a long non-coding RNA of Ochotona curzoniae (black-lipped pika), 478 nucleotides long. RefSeq lists it as uncharacterized. The record is from RefSeq and is a predicted model, not a curated record. Lineage: Eukaryota; Metazoa; Chordata; Mammalia; Lagomorpha; Ochotonidae. The transcript has 3 exons.
GACUCUUUUCUGGUGCUUUUUGUUUCCCUGGAAUCCCUUGUUUCCUGCUGUCUUGCCUGCCUUCUAUGAGAAGUAUAUGUUGACAUUUUCUUGAUGCAAACAUUAUAUAGACAAAUUCUUUGAGCUUUCCUGAAGAUCCUUUCUCCAGGGAGGAUGCGCUGGCCAUGCAGCCCUUCUCCGCUGUGUGCUCCCGUGUCUGUCUUGCCCUCACCGUGUUCCAGCCAGGAUCUGGAGGCACGCUUCUUAAACUGUCGGAACGUCAUAUUAUUUUAUAUCCCAGAGCCAAACCUUGGGAAGUUGAAGAAUAACGGAGAGACAGACUCUGGCAGGAGCUGACCCCUUUUAUCCAGAUGAGGAAGGAGAUAAGCCCAGGAUGUGCGGCCAUGGUGGGGCGUGCCUCAUCCUCAUCUUGACUGUCUUUGCCUGGCAGUCCUCCCAGGCUCCUGGCUGAGUGGCUCUCUCAAGAGCGCCCCGAGGG